Molecule: ribosomal RNA, 419 nt
Filed under: bacterium
Lineage: Bacteria
Description: partial 16S ribosomal RNA
Rfam family: Bacterial small subunit ribosomal RNA
Source: RNAcentral
UGGGGGAUAUUGCACAAUGGGCGAAAGCCUGAUGCAGCGACGCCGCGUGGGGGAUGAAGGCCUUCGGGUUGUAAACUUCUUUUGCUCUGAACAAGGCAUGCUAAUGGGUGUGUUGAGUGUAGGGGUUGAUUAGCGCCGGCUAACUACGUGCCAGCAGCCGCGGUAAUACGUAGGGCGCGAGGGUUGUCCGGAAUUAUUGGGCGUAAAGGGCUUGUAGGUGGCUGGUUGCGUCUGUCGUGAAAGCUCAUGGCUUAACUGUGGGUUUGCGGUGGGUACGGGCUGGCUUGAGUGCAGUAGGGGAGGCUGGAAUUCCAGGUGUAGCGGUGGAAUGCGCAGAUAUCAGGAGGAAUACCGGUGGCGAAGGCGGGUCGCUGGGCUGUUACUGACACUGAGGAGCGAAAGCAUGGGGAGCGAACAGG